UCGCUUUGGCAGCACAUAUACUAAAAUUGGAAUGAUACAGAGAAGAUUAGCAUGGCCCCUGUGCAAGGAUGACAUGCAAAUUCAUGAAGCAUUCCAUGUUUUU
Molecule: small nuclear RNA, 103 nt
Filed under: Cervus hanglu yarkandensis (Yarkand deer)
Lineage: Eukaryota; Metazoa; Chordata; Mammalia; Artiodactyla; Cervidae
Source: RNAcentral